GACGAACCGUGCGAACGUUGUUCGGAAUCACUGGGCUUAAAGGGCGCGUAGGCGGCUUGCCAAGUCAGUGGUGAAAUCCUGCAGCUUAACUGUAGAAGUGCCUUUGAUACUGGCAAGCUAGAGGGAGGUAGGGGUCUGUGGAACUUCUGGUGGAGCGGUGAAAUGCGUUGAUAUCAGAAGGAACGCCGGUGGCGAAAGCGACGGACUGGACCUCUUCUGACGCUGAGGCGCGAAAGCCAGGGGAGCAAACGGGG
Molecule: ribosomal RNA, 254 nt
Filed under: uncultured bacterium
Lineage: Bacteria
Description: partial 16S ribosomal RNA
Rfam family: Bacterial small subunit ribosomal RNA
Source: RNAcentral